UGCCAGCCGCCGCGGUAAUACGGAGGGUGCAAGCGUUGUUCGGAAUUAUUGGGCGUAAAGCGCGUGUAGGCGGUUCGUUAAGUCUGAUGUGAAAGCCCGGGGCUCAACCCCGGAAGUGCAUUGGAAACUGGCGAACUUGAGUACGGGAGAGGAAAGUGGAAUUCCGAGUGUAGGGGUGAAAUCCGUAGAUAUUCGGAGGAACACCAGUGGCGAAGGCGACUCACUGGACCAUUAUUGACGCUGAGGCGCGAAGGCGUGGGUAGCGAACGGGAUUAGAUA
This 279-nucleotide ribosomal RNA is filed under the name uncultured bacterium. RNAcentral describes it as "partial 16S ribosomal RNA". It matches the Rfam family "Bacterial small subunit ribosomal RNA", at positions 506 to 784 of the family's 1533-position model. The record is from RNAcentral.